Molecule: transfer RNA, 72 nt
Filed under: Candidatus Pacearchaeota archaeon
Lineage: Archaea; Nanobdellati
Description: tRNA-Asn
Rfam family: tRNA
About the family: Transfer RNA (tRNA) molecules are approximately 80 nucleotides in length. Their secondary structure includes four short double-helical elements and three loops (D, anti-codon, and T loops). Further hydrogen bonds mediate the characteristic L-shaped molecular structure. tRNAs have two regions of fundamental functional importance: the anti-codon, which is responsible for specific mRNA codon recognition, and the 3' end, to which the tRNAs corresponding amino acid is attached (by aminoacyl-tRNA synthetases). tRNAs cope with the degeneracy of the genetic code in two manners: having more than one tRNA (with a specific anti-codon) for a particular amino acid; and 'wobble' base-pairing, i.e. permitting non-standard base-pairing at the 3rd anti-codon position.
Source: RNAcentral
GUCCGAGUAGCUCAGUGGAAGAGCGCUUGGCUGUUAACCAAGAGGUCGGCGGUUCGAUCCCGCUCUCGGACG